Molecule: long non-coding RNA, 1473 nt
Organism: Elaeis guineensis (African oil palm)
Lineage: Eukaryota; Viridiplantae; Streptophyta; Magnoliopsida; Arecales; Arecaceae
Source: RefSeq, a predicted model, not a curated record
GACUGGGAGAGAAGGUCGGCAAGAGGUUUUCCGCUCUUGGACGGGAGAUUUUGUUAAUUUUAUUCUUGUUAUUGAUCCAUUAUAAUAUAAGUAAUCUGAUAACCUCACGGGUGGGUAACAUGGAGUCCGUCUUUCUUUUUGGGAUGGGUUUUUGGUGGGAGGAUGGUGAGGCCACCCCAUGGCCAUGGGGACCAUGAUAUUGUUUUAUGGAGAUCAUCCCCUCUUGGAUCUUGUUUUACUUUUCCUGCCAUGAAGCAAUGGGAUGCAUGUGAAUUGGGAUUCUUGGAGCUCAUUACUUUGUAGCCUUAUUUCUCUCCAGCAACGGCACGGCAAGAACAGUGUGAAGUUCCUUCAUCUCUCUACUUCUCUGGCUUUAGGUCCCUCUACUCACGUCUCCCCCCAUCUUUUUAUGUCAUGGCUCUGGUUGGAAUUGUAACGAGCUAAGCUCAAGCAAGCCAGACCUAUAGCCUAACUUGUUUAGUAAUUAAGUUGAUAGAACUCAAAAACUUUUUAUUUAAUUUUGAGUCAAAGCUGGGUUGUUUGUGGACAAUUUUUUUUUUGGAUAAUUAAUAAAUACCCUCCAUAUUUUUACUAAUUUUGCGGAUACCUUUCUACACUUAAAAUUUAAGCAAUGUCAACCCUGCAUUUAAUAGAACAUUGCAAUUUGCCCUUCUGACGAUCCAAAUUGGGUCUGAGGCUCCUAUCAGUGAUUACGUGGUACUAUUUUUAUCGCACAUGGUUUACGUGGUCGGUUUUAUCGGUCUGACUUGACCCUCUCCUAAUUUGGUGCCAAACUUUCCACCAUUAAUAGAUAUUUUUUCAUCUCUAUCUCUCUCCCUGCUGUCUCUAUUCCUCUUCCUGCUCCCUGCUGUCUCUAUCCCUCUCUCUGCCUAGGUUUCAGACGAACUAGAGAUGAGUUCGUCCUCAUUGAGCAUGUGGGAAGGAGAACCAUCCGCCAUUAGUGCAACCCCAAAGAUGUGUCGUUGCCGUCUUGCAUUUGUGAUGAAAACAUCGUGGACAUCUACGAAUCCGAAAAGGAGAUUUUAGGCAUGCCCUAAUUAUGAGAUUGGUGGAGGUUGUAACUAUUUUCAAUGGUUAGAUCUGGAGUGGGACGGACACUCAUUCAAGAUUAUCCAUAAAUUGCAGAAAAGGAUUGACAGGUUGGAGGCUGAUAAGCAGGUCUUGCAGGCGAAGAAGGAAAGUUUGAAAUCUAAGAUAUCUAAUCUUGAAAAGCAGGUGGCUAAUCUAAAAAGACAAAUUAAUAUUUGGGAAAAUCGGAAGAGAUAUGAUAUGUUUGGUGUGUUUGGUUUUUUUAAUCUUGUAUUUGCUGAUUUUCUUAGCCUAUAGGCUUAAUGUACCAUUUUGUCAAACAUCCUUGCCAUGAUGGUAUAUUUGUCUUCAUGUAAAGAUUUGUAAUCUAAAACAAGAUUGUAUUUGGCAUUAUCUAUCAAUGUAUCUCUGCCGGCAUAAUGA